UUGAUCCUGGCUCAGAAUCAACGCUGGCGGCGUGCCUCAGACAUGCAAGUCGAACGCGAAAGGGGGCUUCGGCUCCCGAGUAGAGUGGCGCACGGGUGAUUAACACGUGAGUAAUUUACCUUGGGGUGGGGAAUAACAACCGGAAACGGUUGCUAAUACCGCAUAAUGCAGCAGCACCUAAUGGUGACAGUUGUUAAAGUGGGGGAUCGUAAGACCUCGCGCCUGAAGAGAAGCUCGCGGCAGAUUAGCUAGUUGGUAGAGUAAUGGCCUACCAAGGCGAUGAUCUGUAGCCGGCCUGAUAGGGCGGUCGGCCACACUGACACUGACAUACGGGUCAGACUCCUACGGGUGGCAGCAGUCGGGAAUUUUGGGCAAUGGGCGAAAGCCUGACCCAGCAACUCCGCGUGAAGGAUGAAGUUUUUCGGAAUGUAAACUUCACAAGAAUGGGAUGAAUAAGUCUGGGUUAAUAUCUCAGACGAUGACGGUACCAUUUGUAAGCUCCGGCUAACUCCGUGCCAGCAGCCGCGGUAAUAAGGU
Molecule: ribosomal RNA, 537 nt
Filed under: uncultured Acidobacteriota bacterium
Lineage: Bacteria; Pseudomonadati; Acidobacteriota
Description: bacterial SSU rRNA
Rfam family: Bacterial small subunit ribosomal RNA
Source: RNAcentral